RNAcentral lists this ribosomal RNA (502 nucleotides) under Staphylococcus aureus. RNAcentral describes it as "partial 23S ribosomal RNA". It matches the Rfam family "Bacterial large subunit ribosomal RNA", at positions 12 to 507 of the family's 2925-position model. Lineage: Bacteria; Bacillati; Bacillota; Bacilli; Caryophanales; Staphylococcaceae. The record is from RNAcentral.
UAAGGGCGCACGGUGGAUGCCUUGGCACUAGAAGCCGAUGAAGGACGUUACUAACGACGAUAUGCUUUGGGGAGCUGUAAGUAAGCUUUGAUCCAGAGAUUUCCGAAUGGGGAAACCCAGCAUGAGUUAUGUCAUGUUAUCGAUAUGUGAAUACAUAGCAUAUCAGAAGGCACACCCGGAGAACUGAAACAUCUUAGUACCCGGAGGAAGAGAAAGAAAAUUCGAUUCCCUUAGUAGCGGCGAGCGAAACGGGAAGAGCCCAAACCAACAAGCUUGCUUGUUGGGGUUGUAGGACACUCUAUACGGAGUUACAAAGGACGACAUUAGACGAAUCAUCUGGAAAGAUGAAUCAAAGAAGGUAAUAAUCCUGUAGUCGAAAAUGUUGUCUCUCUUGAGUGGAUCCUGAGUACGACGGAGCACGUGAAAUUCCGUCGGAAUCUGGGAGGACCAUCUCCUAAGGCUAAAUACUCUCUAGUGACCGAUAGUGAACCAGUACCGUGAG